RNAcentral lists this ribosomal RNA (337 nucleotides) under uncultured bacterium. RNAcentral describes it as "bacterial SSU rRNA". It matches the Rfam family "Bacterial small subunit ribosomal RNA", at positions 30 to 368 of the family's 1533-position model. The record is from RNAcentral.
AUUGAACGCUGGCGGCAUGCCUUACACAUGCAAGUCGAACGGCAGCGGACCUUCGGGUGCCGGCGAGUGGCGAACGGGUGAGUAAUAUAUCGGAACGUACCUUUCAGUGGGGGAUAACGUAGCGAAAGUUACGCUAAUACCGCAUAUUCUGUGAGCAGGAAAGCAGGGGAUCGCAAGACCUUGCGCUGAUUGAGCGGCCGAUAUCAGAUUAGCUAGUUGGUGAGGUAAAGGCUCACCAAGGCGACGAUCUGUAGCGGGUCUGAGAGGAUGAUCCGCCACACUGGGAACUGAGACACGGUCCAGACUCCUACGGGAGGCAGCAGUGGGGGAAUUUUGU